This 434-nucleotide ribosomal RNA is filed under the name uncultured Fusibacter sp. RNAcentral describes it as "bacterial SSU rRNA". It matches the Rfam family "Bacterial small subunit ribosomal RNA", at positions 952 to 1382 of the family's 1533-position model. Lineage: Bacteria; Bacillati; Bacillota; Clostridia; Eubacteriales; Fusibacteraceae. The record is from RNAcentral.
CGAAGCAACGCGAAGAACCUUACCAGAUCUUGACAUCCAAUUGACCAUCUUUUAAUCGUAGAUUUUGCCUUCGGGUACAAUUGAGACAGGUGGUGCAUGGUUGUCGUCAGCUCGUGUCGUGAGAUGUUGGGUUAAGUCCCGCAACGAGCGCAACCCUUGUGUUUAGUUGCAAACAGGUCAAGCUGUGCACUCUAGACAGACUGCCGUGGACAACACGGAGGAAGGUGGGGAUGACGUCAAAUCAUCAUGCCCCUUAUGAUCUGGGCUACACACGUGCUACAAUGGCCGGUACAACGGGCAGCGAAGGAGCGAUCCGGAGCGAAUCCUAAAAAGCCGGUCCCAGUUCGGAUUGCAGGCUGAAACUCGCCUACAUGAAGUUGGAGUUGCUAGUAAUCGCGAAUCAGAAUGUCGCGGUGAAUGCGUUCCCGGGUCUU